Molecule: transfer RNA, 74 nt
Filed under: Candidatus Tayloriibacteriota bacterium
Lineage: Bacteria; Candidatus Tayloriibacteriota
Description: tRNA-Val
Rfam family: tRNA
About the family: Transfer RNA (tRNA) molecules are approximately 80 nucleotides in length. Their secondary structure includes four short double-helical elements and three loops (D, anti-codon, and T loops).
Source: RNAcentral
GCGCGCUUAGCUCAGUUGGUUAGAGCAUUCGGCUUACAUCCGAAAGGUCGUAGGUUCAAAUCCUACAGCGCGCA